UCAGAGUUAUCAUGGCUCAGGACGAACGCUGGCGGCGCGCCUAACACAUGCAAGUCGAACGAGCGAGAGAGAGCUUGCUUUCUCGAGCGAGUGGCGAACGGGUGAGUAACGCGUGAGGAACCUGCCUCAAAGAGGGGGACAACAGUUGGAAACGACUGCUAAUACCGCAUAAGCCCACGACCCGGCAUCGGGAAGAGGGAAAAGGAGCAAUCCGCUUUGAGAUGGCCUCGCGUCCGAUUAGCUAGUUGGUG
RNAcentral lists this ribosomal RNA (251 nucleotides) under uncultured bacterium. RNAcentral's name for it is "partial 16S ribosomal RNA". It matches the Rfam family "Bacterial small subunit ribosomal RNA", at positions 1 to 254 of the family's 1533-position model. The record is from RNAcentral.